AUGGCGUCGAAGAAGACGCCGAAGGGCAAGUCGGGCUUCUUCGGCGUGAGGCAGAAGCCCUCCGGUAAUUGGGGUGUGGAGUUCUCCGACACUGGAAGGCGUUGGUGGAUCGGCACGUACCCCUCCGCCCACGAGGCCGCGCGUGCCUACGACGUGGCGGUGUGGUGUGCCGAGAGGCCUCGGUCGCACCUCAACUUCCCAGAGAUCGAGACUCGGGCGGAAGCGGAGAUGCUUGUGCCGCAGGGCAUCAACAUGAAGGAGAUCACGACGAAGAAGAAGAAGACGAAGAAGCCGUCGGUUGUCGUCAGUGCUGGCGAGACAGACGAGGAGGCUAUGGCGAGGUUUGCUCGGGGGCAUCCGGAGUACGUCCAGGCCGAGUUGGAGUACUACUAG
RNAcentral lists this ribosomal RNA (393 nucleotides) under Triticum aestivum (bread wheat). RNAcentral's name for it is "partial small subunit ribosomal RNA". Lineage: Eukaryota; Viridiplantae; Streptophyta; Magnoliopsida; Poales; Poaceae. The record is from RNAcentral.